UGCUUGCACUUACCUUUAAUGAACAUAUCAAAGCAGCGAGAUCCAGACACAAAUAGUUACGAAACUGCCAAAGUCACGUGAUUUCAGUAAACGAGGCUUUGUUACGUCAUAAGUGUUUCAAAAUUUCAAUGGUUCACCACUGGGGGGAGUGACUUUGAUACACGCUCUGAACCACUGAAUUGAAACAAAAGAUUUGAAAAGCUUCGAAACUUCAUGAAGCAGUGGUUUGAAAUCGCCCAUCACUAGAUAUCGUUGAAUAAAGUCGUUAUUUUGUGGUGUUUUUUUUUUUUUUGGCACACAAAAAGUAUUCUUGUUGCUUCAUAACAUUAAGGUUGAACCACUGUAGUCACAUGAACUGAUUUAAAUAUGUCUUUAGUAACUUUCUGGGCACCUGAAAGUGUUAAUUAUUUUGUUGGCAAUGCAGGCUUCACUAAGCCAUUGGAUUUUAUCAAAAAUAUCUUAAUUUGUGUUCUGAAGAUGAACGAAGGUCUUACGGGUGUGGAACGAAAUGAGGGUGAGUAAUAAAUGACAGAAUUUUCAUUUUUGGGUAAACUAACACUUUAACACAUUAAAUCAGCAGUCUCGGAGUAGCUUAACCAUAAAAUAAAAGUUUAUUGAGUGAUGCUCAAAAGAGGCAACUAAAGCUGCUUAACAAUUUUUUUUUUUUUUAUCUAGUACCAUAAUAAUAAUAAUAAUAAUAAUAAGUUUUAUUUAUAUAGCGCCUUUACAGGGCUCAAGGACACUUUACAAUGUACAUUUAACAAGGACGAGAUAAUACGAGUAGACAAUGAUGAAAGUAUAACAUUCAGAAAACAAGUGAGUUUUGAGUAAUGAUUUAAAUUCAGAGAUAUUAUUACCAUUGUGGUCUUUCAUUAUGAUUAUGGUUUUCUUUAAUUUGUUUUUACAAAUGUCUGUUUUUUUUUUCAUACACAAAAGUAACAAGUAUUGACAGACUGGAGGAGGAGUUUAUGCAAAACUGUGCAGUAUAUUUCUGUGUCUGUGUUCACUGACUGUAUGUGGAUCCUGUAGAGGAGAAUCAAUCAGCAAUGACAACAAUGAUCAGUUCACUCCUGAUAUUACUAUUUUUACAUGAUAUUCAUUGUCAGACCUUCACUCAGUCUCAAGCUGUGAUAAAAAGACCUGGUGAAUCUUUUCAGCUGGUCUGUACCACCUCUGGAUUUACUUUCAGCAGCUACAGUGCAGCUGUGGUGAGACAGGGUCACGGUAAAGGACUGGAAUGGAUUGCAUACAUCAGCACAUCCAGUACUCCGAUCUACUAUUCCCAGUCAGUCCAGGGAAGGUUCACAGUGUCCAGAGAUGACUCCAGCAGUCAACUGUACCUGCAGAUGAACAGCCUCAAGACUGAAGACACUGCUGUGUAUUACUGUGCUAGA
Molecule: long non-coding RNA, 1394 nt
Organism: Ctenopharyngodon idella (grass carp)
Lineage: Eukaryota; Metazoa; Chordata; Actinopteri; Cypriniformes; Xenocyprididae
Exons: 2
Source: RefSeq, a predicted model, not a curated record